GACGAACGCUGGCGGCGUGCUUAACACAUGCAAGUCGAACGGAAAGGCCCUGCUUUUGUGGGGUGCUCGAGUGGCGAACGGGUGAGUAACACGUGAGUAACCUGCCCUUGACUUUGGGAUAACUUCAGGAAACUGGGGCUAAUACCGGAUAGGAGCUCCUGCUGCAUGGUGGGGGUUGGAAAGUUUCGGCGGUUGGGGAUGGACUCGCGGCUUAUCAGCUUGUUGGUGGGGUAGUGGCUUACCAAGGCUUUGACGGGUAGCCGGCCUGAGAGGGUGGCCGGCCACAAUGGGACUGAGAUACGGCCCAGACUCCUACGGGAGGCAGCAGUGGGGAAUAUUGCACAAUGGGCGGAAGCCUGAUGCAGCAACGCCGCGUGCGGGAUGACGGCCUUCGGGUUGUAAACCGCUUUCGCCUGUGACGAAGCGUGAGUGACGGUAAUGGGUAAAGAAGCACCGGCUAACUACGUG
RNAcentral lists this ribosomal RNA (468 nucleotides) under uncultured bacterium. RNAcentral describes it as "partial 16S ribosomal RNA". It matches the Rfam family "Bacterial small subunit ribosomal RNA", at positions 28 to 507 of the family's 1533-position model. The record is from RNAcentral.